CCCUAUUACGUGGCGCAGCCGGCGCGAAAACUUUCCAAUGCGGGCAAACCUCAUAAGGGGACUCCCAUGCCAGCCCUAAUACUGGCUGUCCUCGUAGUAAAAACCACGUAGCUGGCU
RNAcentral lists this ribosomal RNA (117 nucleotides) under uncultured archaeon. Its description in RNAcentral is "partial 16S ribosomal RNA". The record is from RNAcentral.